AUACGGAGGGUGCAAGCGUUAUCCGGAAUCAUUGGGUUUAAAGGGCCCGUAGGCGGACUAUUAAGUCAGAGGUGAAAUCCCACAGCUCAACUGUGGAACUGCCUUUGAUACUGGUAGUCUUGAGUUAUAUGGAAGUAGAUAGAAUGUGUAGUGUAGCGGUGAAAUGCAUAGAUAUUACACAGAAUACCGAUUGCGAAGGCAGUCUACUACGUAUAUACUGACGCUAAGGGACGAAAGCGUGGGGAGCGAACAGGAUUAGAUACCCUAGUAGUCC
RNAcentral lists this ribosomal RNA (274 nucleotides) under uncultured bacterium. RNAcentral describes it as "partial 16S ribosomal RNA". It matches the Rfam family "Bacterial small subunit ribosomal RNA", at positions 523 to 796 of the family's 1533-position model. The record is from RNAcentral.